GAUGAACGCAGCUAUAGGCUUAACACAUGCAAGUCGAGGGAACGGCAUUAUGUGCUUGCACAUUUUGGACGUCGCCGGCGGACGGGUGAGUAUCGCGUAUCCAACCUUCCCUCCACUCGGGGAUACCCCGUUGAAAGACGGCUUAAUACCCGAUGUUGUCCACAUAUGGCAUCUGACGUGGCCAAAGAUUCAUCGGUGGAGGAUGGGAUGCGUCUGAUUAGCUUGUUGGUGCGGGUAACGGCCCACCAAGGCUACGAUCAGUAGGGGUUCUGAGAGGAAGGUCCCCCACAUUGGAACUGAGACACGGUCCAAACUCCUACGGGAGCAGCAGUGAGGAAUAUUGGUCAAUGGACGUAAGUCUGACCAGCCAAGUAGCGUGCAGGAUUGACGGCCCUAUGGGUUGUAAACUGCUUUUGUUGGGGAGUAAAGUGGG
RNAcentral lists this ribosomal RNA (433 nucleotides) under Prevotella intermedia. RNAcentral's name for it is "bacterial SSU rRNA". It matches the Rfam family "Bacterial small subunit ribosomal RNA", at positions 28 to 455 of the family's 1533-position model. Lineage: Bacteria; Pseudomonadati; Bacteroidota; Bacteroidia; Bacteroidales; Prevotellaceae. The record is from RNAcentral.